RNAcentral lists this ribosomal RNA (274 nucleotides) under uncultured bacterium. RNAcentral describes it as "partial 16S ribosomal RNA". It matches the Rfam family "Bacterial small subunit ribosomal RNA", at positions 523 to 796 of the family's 1533-position model. The record is from RNAcentral.
AUACGGAGGGUGCAAGCGUUAUUCGGAAUCACUGGGCGUAAAGGGUGCGUAGGCGGUUUGAUAAGUCUGAUGUGAAAUCCUAUGGCUCAACCAUAGAACUGCAUUGGAAACUGUCAGACUAGAAUACUGAAGGGGCAGAUGGAAUUAGUGCUGUAGGGGUAACAUCCGUAGAUAUCACUAGGAAUACCGAAAGCGAAAGCGAUCUGCUGGGAAGUUAUUGACGCUGAGGCACGAAAGCGUGGGGAGCAAACGGGAUUAGAAACCCUAGUAGUCC